Molecule: ribosomal RNA, 253 nt
Filed under: uncultured bacterium
Lineage: Bacteria
Description: partial 16S ribosomal RNA
Rfam family: Bacterial small subunit ribosomal RNA
Source: RNAcentral
GACGAACCGUGCGAACGUUGUUCGGAUUCAUUGGGCUUAAAGGGCGCGUAGGCGGCCGCUCAAGUCGGGGGUGAAAUCUUUCAGCUCAACUGGAAAAUAGCCUACGAUACUGGUCGGCUGGAGGGAGAUAGGGGUGCGCGGAACUUCCGGUGGAGCGGUGAAAUGCGUAGAUAUCGGAAGGAACGCCGGUGGCGAAAGCGGCGCACUGGAUCUCAUCUGACGCUGAGGCGCGAAAGCCAGGGGAGCAAACGGG